RNAcentral lists this ribosomal RNA (492 nucleotides) under uncultured bacterium. RNAcentral describes it as "partial 16S ribosomal RNA". It matches the Rfam family "Bacterial small subunit ribosomal RNA", at positions 29 to 507 of the family's 1533-position model. The record is from RNAcentral.
AGUGAACGCUGGCGGUAGGCCUAACACAUGCAAGUCGAACGGCAGCACAGUAAGAGCUUGCUCUUACGGGUGGCGAGUGGCGGACGGGUGAGGAAUACAUCGGAAUCUACUUUUACGUGGGGGAUAACGUAGGGAAACUUACGCUAAUACCGCAUACGACCUACGGGUGAAAGCAGGGGAUCUUCGGACCUUGCGCGAUUGAAUGAGACGAUGUCGGAUUAGCUAGUUGGCGGGGUAAAGGCCCACCAAGGCGACGAUCCGUAGCUGGUCUGAGAGGAUGAUCGGCCACACUGGAACUGAGACACGGUCCAGACUCCUACGGGAGGCAGCAGUAGGGAAUAUUGGGCAAUGGGCGCAAGCCUGAUCCAGCCAUACCGCGUGAGUGAAGAAGGCCUUCGGGUUGUAAAGCCCUUUUGUUGGGAAAGAAAAGCAGCAUAUUAAUACCCCGCUGUUCUGACGGUACCCAAAGAAUAAGCACCGGCUAACUUCGUG